CUUGAAGAUAAGCGCGGCCACUCCUUUGGAUACGAGGGCUGGGCAUUUGUUGUUCUGCCAAAUCCCAGAUAGCAGCUGAAGAUCGACGAACUUCGUUUGUUCAUAGGGCGGCGGCACACAGCAGAUCUAAAGGAUGGAUGGGUACAGGAUCCCCGCUUCGGGCCCGAGCGCACGCCGACAGAUCGACGAUACAUCCUUGGAAUCAGCAGAAGAAGAAGAGGGGAUUGGUUUCCCUGCUGGAGGUGCCGUUGCGGAGUCAGAGUCAGAUGAAGAAGAUCAGAACCAGCACAAUGGAAAAGCGCCUGCGAUCAGCUCCAGGUGUAGCGUUAAGAAGCUUCAUGAUUUGAUCGCCUCGCUUGACGAGGAAAAAUACAGUAUGUCGUCGAGAUGGAUUUUGGUGGCCUGCUGGAGCUGAAUACUUUGAUGGUUGGACGCCGAAGACCAAAGGUGGCAUGAUUGGUUCCCAAAGCUCACCACUGGCCCUUGGGUCUGCAGCAGGGCAUCCAGCGGGAUCGUCGCGCUACAUUACGCAGGGCAGUGGAUGGGGACAAAGCUACAGCAGUCUCUGUCUCUGAUAUGAGAUGAAAUCGACCAAUCUAGGAUGAUUCUGCUUUAUGAGGUUUUGGGGCUAGCUUGCAACACUGGGAAACUUCCAGCGAAAUUCAAAGUUUGCCAGACCGAUUUGCUGAGGAAGUGAGCAAAGUGAUAUCUUGGUAGUAAUGUCACUCUUAUCAACCACUAGACUACACUACUCUAAUAGUGGUCUUCAGCGCAAUGCCUCUGAGAGCGAACUGCAGCAAUCGCCAUGAUCGAAAUAAGUUUCUACAGACUUAUAAUUUGCCCAAGAGAUAUUGCGCAAAUUAUAAGUCUGUAAAGCAGAGUCGAAAUAAGUUUUUACAGAGUGUUUUUCUAAGGCUGUCAGGAAUUAAUUUAGUUGGGAACAUUCCAACUUGGCAAGGAUCUAGACUUGUAAUAUUUUUUAAAACUGCCCUAGUAAUGUUUAAAAGUUAGAGACCUUCUUUUUGCAUGUCGGGACGUGAGAAGCAGAGUACAGCAAUGCAGAA
This is a long non-coding RNA of Triticum aestivum (bread wheat), 1064 nucleotides long. RefSeq lists it as uncharacterized. The record is from RefSeq and is a predicted model, not a curated record. The transcript has 4 exons. Lineage: Eukaryota; Viridiplantae; Streptophyta; Magnoliopsida; Poales; Poaceae.